AGGAUGACCCUGGCUGGACACCAGGCACCCACCAAAGUCUCUCUGUCACUCCCCUUCUCAGCUGGCCAGGGGAGAGAAAACAUAACAUGAAAGGCACAAGGGAGGAGA
This is a long non-coding RNA of Corapipo altera (White-ruffed manakin), 108 nucleotides long. RefSeq lists it as uncharacterized. The transcript has 3 exons. Lineage: Eukaryota; Metazoa; Chordata; Aves; Passeriformes; Pipridae. The record is from RefSeq and is a predicted model, not a curated record.